This 2098-nucleotide long non-coding RNA is filed under the name Lupinus angustifolius (narrow-leaved blue lupine). RNAcentral's name for it is "long non-coding RNA (LANG_LNC001797)". The record is from RNAcentral. Lineage: Eukaryota; Viridiplantae; Streptophyta; Magnoliopsida; Fabales; Fabaceae.
GAGCACGAUACCAUCGAGUAACCACAUACUCGGUCAUAAAAUCAGUUUCAGAUGUAGUUCUAGCAAGACCAAAGUCUGCAAUCUUAAGGUCACAAUUGGAAUUCAGUAGCAAAUUGCUAGGCUUUAGAUCACGGUGCAAAACAUUUGCUGAAUGUACGUAUUUGAGCCCUCGUAGCAACUGAUACAGGAAAUACUGGAAAAAAUAGAUCUUAUAAAUGGAUGUAUGACAGAUUAUAAAAAUUAUGCUAUAGUGCGUGAAGCCAGUACAUUGUAAUAGAUGGUGGAAGCUACACCACUUAUUACACUGUUCGGGUUUCAUCUUGUCUCCAAGUUUCUGGGCUCCUAGGCCGUUCCAAAGUAUACAUAAAUUUUAAAUAUGUAUUGCUACAAAAACCCACAAUUUCAGUUGCUAUUUUAAUUCAAAACAACAAGAACAUUACUGAGCUAAAAUCCAAAGUAAUUCAUCAUAUUAAAUUAAAUAUAAAUUGUAAAGCCAAUUAAUAUUCGAGUAUUUUAACUUGUCUGUUAUAUAGGAAGUGGACCGAAGUACACACAUCCGGCACAAAUUCAUAAUACAUUUUGCAAAUAACUAGAGAACCAACAAUGAACAAAAUUUUGGCCUCAAAUAUCAGGAUAAACAAAGAUUUUAAAAAAGCCUAAGGACUGAUGAUAAUCAAAGCAUAACGGUUCCAGUGAUUGAAGGUUACUAAUAACAAUGGAAUGAUGCAACAAGAAUAAAAGACAAAUAAAAUAGGUUAACACUUUAGAGUGUGGCUAGAACCUGGAGUUCAUACACAUUGGAAAUAAGAAUAAUCAGGGAAACCAAUAUCCAAGGUGAAUGUGAUCUUUCAAAUAUUGACGAAAAGAGUAUAUGCAUCAUUACUUUUGUAGUGAAUGAGUCCAUCCCUUAUGUCAUAUAAAAAACAUUACUAGUGUCAAGUUUAAAACAACCUGGAGGAAUUUUAUUUACACCAUUGACAUUAUUAGAAAUGUUACUUUGUAGAAAGUAAAAGCAACGUCACUACACUAUUCUCGCAGACACAACAUUACAAACCUGCAAACAUGGAACUGACUUUAACAGGAAAAAGUUAAAGUGGGGCAACCAAACUCACAGAUGGAACCAUGUGUGCAAUAUUUCGCAAUUGAAAUGACAAUGUUGUAAACAUGGCAUUACUUAGUACGUAAGUAGGCAAAAAUAUAUAUUAUUCACCAUUGUUAAUUAAUCCCUUUAAUUUUUUCAUGUUUUAUAUUAGUUUGAGAAACAAUAAACUGAUGAACAUAAUCUCUGCCAGGAAAGAGGGGUUGUCUUGUCAUGAUUUCACCAAGUAUGCAACCAACAGACCAUAUAUCAAUGGCUGCCGUGUAUUCUGAACAAUUAAGAAGCAAUUCUGGAGCACGAUACCAUCGAGUAACCACAUACUCGGUCAUAAAAUCAGUUUCAGAUGUAGUUCUAGCAAGACCAAAGUCUGCAAUCUUAAGGUCACAAUUGGAAUUCAGUAGCAAAUUGCUAGGCUUUAGAUCACGGUGCAAAACAUUUGCUGAAUGUACGUAUUUGAGCCCUCGUAGCAACUGAUACAGGAAAUACUGGAAAAAAUAGAUCUUAUAAAUGGAUGUAUGACAGAUUAUAAAAAUUAUGCUAUAGUGCGUGAAGCCAGUACAUUGUAAUAGAUGGUGGAAGCUACACCACUUAUUACACUGUUCGGGUUUCAUCUUGUCUCCAAGUUUCUGGGCUCCUAGGCCGUUCCAAAGUAUACAUAAAUUUUAAAUAUGUAUUGCUACAAAAACCCACAAUUUCAGUUGCUAUUUUAAUUCAAAACAACAAGAACAUUACUGAGCUAAAAUCCAAAGUAAUUCAUCAUAUUAAAUUAAAUAUAAAUUGUAAAGCCAAUUAAUAUUCGAGUAUUUUAACUUGUCUGUUAUAUAGGAAGUGGACCGAAGUACACACAUCCGGCACAAAUUCAUAAUACAUUUUGCAAAUAACUAGAGAACCAACAAUGAACAAAAUUUUGGCCUCAAAUAUCAGGAUAAACAAAGAUUUUAAAAAAGCCUAAGGACUGAUGAUAAUCAAAGCAUAACGGUUCCAGUGAUUGAAGGUUAC